Molecule: long non-coding RNA, 738 nt
Organism: Apis cerana (Asiatic honeybee)
Lineage: Eukaryota; Metazoa; Arthropoda; Insecta; Hymenoptera; Apidae
Source: RefSeq, a predicted model, not a curated record
CAUUUCCCCACCUAGACAUACGUUUGUUCAUCCAUACGUCAUGCGUGAUUCGCCUGAAGAUUUUUGUUAAUUGAACGGAAAAAUCGAGUGGCGCGAUUGCUUUUUUGUGAAUGGAAAAUUUGUGAGAAUUUAAUUGGUGCAUAGAGAAUGGUGAUUUGAGUGAUUUGAGUGAUUUGAGUAUAUUAUAAUAUAUGGUGUUCAGUGAGAUUUUGAGGAACUUCCAACAUCCGUUUCGGCGAUUGUCGUAGAUCCAUUAAGAUCGUUCAGUCUCAUACUGGAGGAGAUUGCCUGGAUCGUGGACACCUGUGUUUCGGCUCGAUUUGCGGCUUCCUGCAUCGCUGCAAGUUUGUUCACUAAAUGGAAGAGAAGACAUUAUUCCCAGUUUAGCUGCAUCAUUGGUAAAUCUGAUUUUCCGAUGUCGAUAUCGUAAUUAACGCGGCAUGGUGGGCUAUUAAUCGGCUUUUCAUACAAUGGAUCUCGACGGUUCAACGCCUAUUAAUCGGUAUUCGCCUGCAUAGAACGCCGAUAUAUGGGGACCUUCUAGUGCAGCUAAACGUGAUUAAUCUUAAAUAAAUUUUUACCUGCAGGUGAUGACUUGUAGGAAAUAAAAUAUAUGAUAAUUUAAAACUUUGUCCAAAAUUUUCUUUAAAAAAAGCUUUCUUUGUGUUAUAUUACUCUUAAAAAAUAUUGUAAAUCUAAAGAUUAGUAGAGAUAUAAAUAAACGAAAUAUCACGAAAA